Nymphaea colorata (pocket water lily) is the source of this 994-nucleotide long non-coding RNA. RefSeq lists it as uncharacterized. The record is from RefSeq and is a predicted model, not a curated record. Lineage: Eukaryota; Viridiplantae; Streptophyta; Magnoliopsida; Nymphaeales; Nymphaeaceae. The transcript is spliced from 4 exons.
CAUCGACCUCUGCCCCCAUCUCCUUCUCCUCCACCUUUGCCUCCAUCUCCCCUGCCUUUCUCCUCUUCUCCGCCCCCGACCUUACUUUCUCCUCCAUCUCCGCCCUCUAUCGCCCGAGCUGCCCUAGCCGUCACCCUGUAGCCCCUUCUUGUCUUCCUUGCCCCUCACGCUUCUUCACCUUCCUUCAACCUCUCACCUCCUUCAGCUGCCCCUCGCCCUGCCUAUCAAGCAAUCUGCAACCUCUCCGCCUAGCAGCUCCUCAGCUUCCUCUUCUCCUCUCCUUAGCAGGAACGACAGCUCUCCGCAGCAGCGACUCUUCCGCAUCUCUGUCGAGGCCACCAGCAGACCAGUCGUAGCUUCCAUUGCAGCCCAGCAACAGCUUCUCGUCGAGGCUCCGCCAUGCGUAAACUCUACUCCGAGGUUAACUGGACCAUGGGGACCUGUCUAUUGGUUUUGGUUCUAAUAAUGCGAUAUGCAUCACUAUCGAAACAGAACCAUUGUUUCAAUAAUCAUAUCUGAUGUUGAUGGGACAACAAUCUGCAACCCAUUUGAUGCUUAACACUCAUGAGAAUCCAGCCAAUGAAGCGGAGUCCCAGACUCUAUGGAACUAGACGGUGAUGCAUCUUCUCAAGUAUUGCAUAACUUCGAUGGGAAGAGUAGUGUGCAUGAUAGAAGACUAGUUAUUUAGCAAGAUGUCAUAGUUGUAUUUUGCUUUUACAGUCGAUGUAAUAAUCCCUGCUUCAUUUUAUGUUUAAUUGAAAGCUUUUCCUGCUUGAACUGUAAAGAUAUUUGAAGAGAUGUCAUGUUGUGGCUAAGAGACCCGCCAGAUCUCUUUCUUUCCAUCACAUUCUUCUUGUGAAAGUGUCAACUGUUCUUCCAGUUUUUCAUAAAAGCUUUGUCACAACUGUGGUUGUGACAUUCUGAACUGGUUCAUGUAUAUUUGAUUAAAUGUAUGCUUUUACUCUUUACAAGAAGAGUUCAUUUGAAAUGAAGG